RNAcentral lists this ribosomal RNA (447 nucleotides) under uncultured Microvirga sp. Its description in RNAcentral is "bacterial SSU rRNA". It matches the Rfam family "Bacterial small subunit ribosomal RNA", at positions 8 to 491 of the family's 1533-position model. The record is from RNAcentral. Lineage: Bacteria; Pseudomonadati; Pseudomonadota; Alphaproteobacteria; Hyphomicrobiales; Methylobacteriaceae.
AGAGUUUGAUCCUGGCUCAGAACGAACGCUGGCGGCAGGCCUAACACAUGCAAGUCGAACGAUAAGCCACCUUCGGGUGGUGGACAGUGGCAGACGGGUGAGUAACGCGUGGGAACGUGCCUUUCGGUUCGGAAUAACCCAGGGAAACUUGGGCUAAUACCGGAUACGCCCUUCGGGGGAAAGAUUCAUUGCCGAAAGAUCGGCCCGCGUCGGAUUAGCUAGUUGGUGGGGUAAUGGCUCACCAAGGCGACGAUCCGUAGCUGGUCUGAGAGGAUGACCAGCCACACUGGGACUGAGACACGGCCCAGACUCCUACGGGAGGCAGCAGUGGGGAAUAUUGGACAAUGGGCGCAAGCCUGAUCCAGCCAUGCCGCGUGGGUGAAGAAGGCCUUAGGGUUGUAAACCCCUUUCAGCGGGGAAGAUAAUGACGGUACCCGCAGAAGAGCC